ACUAAGGGCCAGUGAGCAAAUAUUUUAGACUGUGGGCCAAGAGGCAAAAUCGAGGAUAUUAUGUAGGUACUUAUAUAACCAAAGAGAAAAUGUCCAUAAUGUUCUUUAUUGGUGGAAUUCAAAAUGUAAUAAUUGAGUAAAGUUUUUAAAAUACAGGUCUACU
Non-coding RNA from Ceratotherium simum simum (southern white rhinoceros), 163 nucleotides. The record is from RefSeq and is a predicted model, not a curated record. NCBI's taxonomy places the organism in Eukaryota, Metazoa, Chordata, Mammalia, Perissodactyla, Rhinocerotidae.